UCAGGAUGAACGCUAGCGACAGGCUUAACACAUGCAAGUCGAGGGGCGAGCGGAGGCGAGAGCUUGCUCUCGCCUGCCGGCGACCGGCGCACGGGUGAGUAACACGUAUGCAACCUGCCCCUGCAGGAGGAUAACCGGGAGAAAUCCCGACUAAUACUGCAUAACACCCUGGGGCCACAUGGCUUCGGGGUCAAAGGAAGCAAUUCCGGCAGGGGAUGGGCAUGCGGCGCAUUAGCCAGUUGGCGGGGUAACGGCCCACCAAAGCGACGAUGCGUAGGGGUUCUGAGAGGAAGGUCCCCCACAUUGGUACUGAGACACGGACCAAACUCCUACGGGAGGCAGCAGUGAGGAAUAUUGGUCAAUGGGCGCAAGCCUGAACCAGCCAAGUCGCGUGAGGGAUGACGGUCCUAUGGAUUGUAAACCUCUUUUGUCGGGGAGCAAGGCCCGCCACGUGUGGCGGGAAGGAGAGUACCCGAAGAAAAAGCAUCGGCUAACUCCGUG
RNAcentral lists this ribosomal RNA (501 nucleotides) under uncultured Barnesiella sp. RNAcentral describes it as "bacterial SSU rRNA". It matches the Rfam family "Bacterial small subunit ribosomal RNA", at positions 24 to 507 of the family's 1533-position model. The record is from RNAcentral. Lineage: Bacteria; Pseudomonadati; Bacteroidota; Bacteroidia; Bacteroidales; Barnesiellaceae.